GAUGAACGCUAGCGACAGGCUUAACACAUGCAAGUCGAGGGGAAACGGCAUUAAGUGCUUGCACUUUUUGGACGUCGACCGGCGCACGGGUGAGUAACGCGUAUCCAACCUUCCCAUGACUAAGGGAUAACCUGCCGAAAGGCAGACUAAUACCUUAUGGUCUUCACUGACGGCAUCAGAUGUGAAGUAAAGAUUUAUCGGUUAUGGAUGGGGAUGCGUCUGAUUAGCUUGUUGGCGGGGUAGCGGCCCACCAAGGCAACGAUCAGUAGGGGUUCUGAGAGGAAGGACCCCAAGAUUGGAACUGAGACCCGGUCCAAACGCGUACGGGAGGCAGCAGUGAGGAAGAUUGGGCAAUGGGCGAGAGCCUGAACCAGCCAAGUAGCGUGCAGGAUGACGGCCCUAUGGGUUGUAAACUGCUUUUGUAUGGGGAUAAAGUCAAUCACGUGUGAUUGUUUGCAGGUACCAUACGAAUAAGGACCGGCUAAUUCCGUG
Molecule: ribosomal RNA, 492 nt
Filed under: uncultured bacterium
Lineage: Bacteria
Description: partial 16S ribosomal RNA
Rfam family: Bacterial small subunit ribosomal RNA
Source: RNAcentral